Molecule: ribosomal RNA, 253 nt
Filed under: uncultured bacterium
Lineage: Bacteria
Description: partial 16S ribosomal RNA
Rfam family: Bacterial small subunit ribosomal RNA
Source: RNAcentral
UACAGAGGGUGCAAGCGUUGUUCGGAAUUACUGGGCGUAAAGCGCGUGUAGGUGGCUAGAUAAGUCGGGUGUGAAAUCCCUUGGCUUAACCAAGGAAGUGCAUUCGAUACUGUUUCGCUUGAGUAUCGGAGGGGUCGGCGGAAUUCCCGGUGUAGAGGUGAAAUUCGUAGAUAUCGGGAGGAACACCUGUGGCGAAGGCGGCCGACUGGACGAUCACUGACACUGAGACGCGAAAGCGUGGGUAGCAAACAGG